AAGCCAUGACCAUGGAUAAGAUGGCUGUGCUGUCUACAAACCAAAGUGCAGAGGGUGUUAAGAAGCAUACUCUACAAAGGCCUCAGUGGGGAUUUGGAGGUUUCUUUCCAUCCUUCGGCUGAGGCGCUGAUGAUCUGCAGCAUUGGCAGUAGCUGUGAAAAUUUCCUGGCUGACUCUGCCCUUGGAUGGAAGGUUCAAGUCGGAAGUCCUUCCCUGUCCUUCCAUGCUGCCCUACAAUGUCCAUCUGUGCCUCUUCAGAAUAACCAUCUUCAACCAUCCACUUGUCUGUGCUGCACCACAAAAGCUAUACCAUAGGAGUCUGGAGGCCCCCUGGGACGUAGUGCACAAAUCACCAAAAUGAAAAGGGUCAACCACUAACCCUGUGGAUUUGUGAUUCACCCUCCAGACAGGUUAAUCUUUGACCUUUCAGAGCAAUGUCAGUUUUGGUUGAUUGAGAUGAAGUGCCUGAAUGUUAAAAGCUGUUGACAACCCCUAUCUCCAAAUGAAGUCAGUCAAACUGCAGCUAAAACAAACACAUUCUGGCUUCUACAGGGGCAGAUACUAAUAUUGGGAAUUAAUUUGUGUGAUUUUGUAGUCUCAGCUGAGAAAGGCGUGCUCAUUAAAAGAAUAUGCAGAGACAGUGAAGUUUUGGAUUUGAUUAAAGAGAUAGUAGACAGGUUUUUUU
This is a long non-coding RNA of Micropterus dolomieu (smallmouth bass), 685 nucleotides long. RefSeq lists it as uncharacterized. NCBI's taxonomy places the organism in Eukaryota, Metazoa, Chordata, Actinopteri, Centrarchiformes, Centrarchidae. The record is from RefSeq and is a predicted model, not a curated record. The transcript is spliced from 3 exons.